Molecule: ribosomal RNA, 2912 nt
Filed under: Aspergillus flavus
Lineage: Eukaryota; Fungi; Ascomycota; Eurotiomycetes; Eurotiales; Aspergillaceae
Description: large subunit ribosomal RNA
Rfam family: Bacterial large subunit ribosomal RNA
Source: RNAcentral
AACGAAGUGAAUUGAAAUAUCUUAGUAACUUUAGGAAAAGAAAUCAAACGAGAUUGUUAUUUGGUGCAAACUAAAUAACAAGAGCCUAUUAACAAAACUUGUUAAAGUAAAAUGGAUUAAAAUCUGUUUGAAUAUAGGGGAACCUUCCUCUAAGGCUAAAUAUGAUAUAUAAGCGAUAGUGAAAAGUACCGUGAGGUAAAAUUUGAAAUAGUAGUUUUAUAAGCAGCUCGAGUGAAAAUUUAAAUAAGUAAUAAGAGUGUACCUUUUGCAUAAUGGGUCAGCAAGUUAAUUUUAGAUGCAAGCAAUGAUUUCGUGCGCUUUGCGCAUGGAACUAGCUUAGAUAAACCAAUUAUGAGAAAAUGAAUAAGUAUCUAGAAUUAGACCCGAAGGCUAGUGAUCUUACCAUGGUCAGGAUUAUAAAAGUCCGAACGGGUUAUCGUUGUAUAGAUAUCCGAAGAAUUGUGGUAAGUUAGUGAAAGACAAAACUGACUAGUAUAGCUGGUUUUCCGCGAAACCUAUAUGAGUAGGUAAUUUAACUAACAUCUUAGCAGGUACAGAACUGUGAUCUCGGACAAUAUCUUUUGAUUUUGUCAACAUCGGGGGGUUGUAGUGACUUUACCGGAGAGUAUUUGCACUCGGAAUGGCAAAGAUGAAUGUUGAAUAAUCGGACAUAGUGCGAUAAGGUUGUAUGUCUAAAGGGAAACAGCCCAGAACAAGAGUUAAGGUUCCAAAAUUAUUGUUGAGUGAAAUUAAGGAUGUUUUUUUUAAAAACAAUCAGGAAAUAGGCUUAGAAGCGGCCAUUUUUUGAAGACCUCGUAACAGAGCACUGAUUAAUUAAAUUUAGAAAAAAACACCGAAAAUUUAACGGAUCUAAACAAUAUACCGAAACCUUGUACACAUAUUUAUAAUAUUAAUAUUGUAUAUGUGGGGUAGCGGAACAUUGGAUAAAUAUUAAUUAUUAUUUCUUCUAAGAAGUAAUAAGUAUGGAUUAUUAUUAAAAAUAUUUAUUUAUUAAAGAUAUUUAUGUAAUAUUAUUAUACCUAAAAGGUAUAAUGUUUAGAUGAAUAUAUAGAUAGAUUAUAUCUGUCUUUAUUAUUAAUAUAAUCCAUCGAUAUAAUCCAAGAGAGAAUGCUGACAUGAGUAACGAAAAAGGAAUAUCCUCGCCUUAAGCUUAUGGUAUUAUAUUUAAUUUUCGGUAUCUAAAAGUAUUAAUCAAAAGGUAAUUUUGAUGAUAUUUAUAUAUAAAUACUUAAAAAUAAAAAACAAAACCUUUAACAAGUAAUAAAGGUUCUGGAAAAUUUUUUAUUUUUAUUAAGUGAAGUAUAAUGCAAUAUAGGUAUAUUAUAAUUUAUAUAAUUUUCUUGUUACAAGUUUUCAAGAUUGUAUAGAUUUUAUCUAUAUUAAAUAUAUUUUCUUUUUUAUACUAUUGUAUAAGUAAGGUUUAUAUAUACCGUACCUAGAUACUAUCACAAGUAAGCAAGUAGAGAAUACAAAGGCGUUUGAGUGAACAAUCAUUAAGGAACUCGGCAAAUUGACUACCGUAACUUCGGGAUAAGGAGGGCCAUUAUGAUUAGUUUAACAUAUCUUAUGAUAUGAUUUAAUUAAACUAAUCAUAAGAGGAAACAUGAAAUAAUGUUGUACGACUGUUUAAUAAAAACACAGCACUCUGCAAAGAUAAAAUAUCAAAGUAUUGAGUGUGAUGUCUGCCCAAUGUCGGCUGGGUAACGGAUUUACCUUGGUUUUUAACUGAGGUUUUGAAGGAUACCCCGAUUAAUGGCGGCCUUACCUAUGAGGGUCCUAAGGUAGCGAAAUACCUUGGCCGUUAAAUGCGGUCCUGCAUGAAUGACUUAACGAUACAACAGCUGUCUCGAUGAUUGUCUCAGUGAAAUUGGAAUAGCAGUGCAGAUACUGUUUACCUCUAGAUAGACGAGAAGACCCUAUGCAGCUUUACUGUUACUAAUUGCAAGAGUGGAAAUUUAGGAUGAUUUCGAGUGUAUAAGGUAGUUGUUUGAUAACAAUGAAACACCUUUAUUCGUUUCCUACUAUAUGCUCUUGAGGAUUGGGAGGCAGUUUAUGCGGGGCACAGAUCCCACAAAAAGUACCUGGGUAUAUCCAAAGUUCAUUUUGUAAAUUUGUAAAUUUCUUUACAAAUAUUUUAAUUUGUUAUAAUUAUAUUCAUAAUUAUACAGUUAUUGUUAGAUUAAGUUCAAUAUUUAUUUUUUAUUUAAGUAAGAUUUUAACUAUAUGGUGAAUAGAUGUAUUUUAAACUUUACCCGGGGAGGGAGUGAUCCAACUCCGGGAUAUUUAAAAGUUUUUUCUCAUAUUAAUAUUGUAUUUUAUCUUUAUUGAUAUGAUAAUUAAUUAUACUUUAAAAGUUUAAUGGCUAAAUCUUGCUUUACUGUUUGACCUACAAGUCUAUCAGUCGCGUAAGCGGGGCAUAUGAUCACAAGAUGCAUAAAGGAAAGGUCUUGGAUUAUAGAAAAAGUUACGCUAGGGAUAACAGGCUAAUUUGCGCAAGAGAGUACAAAUUGAGUGCGCGGUUUGGCACCUCGAUGUCGGCUUAGCUCAUCCACAUGAAUGCAAAAAUCAUGAAGGGUUCGACUGUUCGUCGAUUAAAGAGCUACAUGAGCUGGGUUUAAUACGUCGUGAGACAGUAUGGUUUCUAUCUUCUAGAGGGAAUUAAAGUAGAAUAAAGAUAGCCCCUUCGUACGAAAGGAGUUGGGUAUAUUGACCUAUGGUUUACCUGUUGUUUAUGUUAUAUAUUAUUAUACAUAAUAUAUCAUUUACUUAUACUUAAGUAAAUUGUUCACAUAGGCAUGGCAGGAAGGCUACGUCAGUUAAAGAUAAGUGCUGAAAGCAUUUAAGCGCGAAGCUUACUUUAGGAUACUUUUAAACGUAGUAGAACACUACGA